UACAGAGGGUGCGAGCGUUAAUCGGAAUUACUGGGCGUAAAGCGCGCGUAGGCGGCUUUGCAAGUCGGGUGUGAAAUCCCCAGGCUUAACCUGGGAACUGCAGUCGGGACUGUCUAGCUAGAGUAUGGGAGAGGGAAGUGGAAUUUCAGGUGUAGCGGUGAAAUGCGUAGAUAUCUGAAGGAACAUCAGUGGCGAAAGCGACUUCCUGGACCAAUACUGACGCUCAUGUGCGAAAGCGUGGGGAGCAAACAGG
RNAcentral lists this ribosomal RNA (253 nucleotides) under uncultured bacterium. Its description in RNAcentral is "partial 16S ribosomal RNA". It matches the Rfam family "Bacterial small subunit ribosomal RNA", at positions 524 to 776 of the family's 1533-position model. The record is from RNAcentral.